CUCUGUGUGGCUACAUCAGUUACGAACAAGGCACCUCAGUGAAAAGACCACUUCGACCUCAGUUUGCAGCUAUGAAGACUACCCUGGUUUUGGUCUGUCUGGUUGCCGUCGCCUCGGCAAGGCCUCAGUUCUUAGGAUUUGGUAGACCCAGCGCCUUUGGCAGCGCCGGGGCCAACGGCAUCCAGGCACAGAGCCAGGGCCUCUUUGGCCCCACCACCCAAAUUCAGCAGCUGGGUACUGCCGCCCAGGGAGGCGCAUUCAACGGCGGAUCAAACCUCAGUCAAGGCACUGCCACUCUUUCCCAGGGCCUCGGACCCUUCGGAGGAGCUCAACAAUUCGGCAAUACCGGCGCCUUUAGCAGCCAGUUCACAGGCUAGCGCUGUGCUCUGAUAAAUACAGAAACAUGCUCAGAAUCAUGAUCACAUGGCUGAAGGGUUUUCCCUCAUGGACGGAGUAAUGUCUGUCAUAACAUGCAAGCAACGUGACUGGAUUAUUUUAACGCCGAAUAUGGCUGUCGUCAGCAGCAAGACACAACUAACUUUCAAUGCCUGCAGAGUGGCGUGUUCCAAACACUUACCGUCGUUUCACAGCCUAGGUAUAUUUAACUUCCACUGAUAGCAAAUUAUUCAGCGCUAAUUAUGAACUACUUUCAAUUGAAACGCUGGCCAAUGGUUCUGUGCAGAGUUGUGAACAUACGAGUACAUGUGGCAAAACUAGUGUCAUUCGGUAAAACUAUGCAUACCAUGACUGAACAGGAAAACACACAGUAAAACUUUUGUGUGUUACACUACAUCUCACACUACAACAAAAAAUGUCGAAUAAGAGAACGGAAAGAAAAUCGAUGGUAAUUGUAUGAUGUAUAAUAACAAGAAGUUGUGCAGAGCGAGUCAUAGUGUCGGCAUAGCAUUUUUGCACAGAUCAUGUCUGGAAACAUCUGAACCCAUUGUUCAGUUGGUAUGUUACAUGUGCGGAACAAAGCGUAGUAAAGUAAGAAGAAGAGUUGCUCGAAAAUGUCUAAAAGGUUGUUAUUUUAGCUGAAUAAAAACUGAAAACCAUUGCAA
Amphibalanus amphitrite is the source of this 1061-nucleotide long non-coding RNA. RefSeq lists it as uncharacterized. The transcript has 3 exons. The record is from RefSeq and is a predicted model, not a curated record. NCBI's taxonomy places the organism in Eukaryota, Metazoa, Arthropoda, Thecostraca, Balanomorpha, Balanidae.